GGUGGCCUAACUGUAGGGGAGGGGUUCUCGAAAAGUGGGCGCCCGGGUAGUUGUCCUGGCAUCAGCGGCAUCAGCGGGAGGCUCCUGUGGAACCGGGAUGUCCCGACCGUCGUGGGUGAAAAAGUUGGUCAUUUCCCGAGGCGGGGCCGCAAGGAGCCGGUUCGUGGAGGCAGGGAGGUGACCGUGGACAAGGACCCCAAAGACCAAAGCUAUCUGCAGAGACCUUUGAGGACAAGUAUCGUAUGGGGUGUAGGGAAGGCCCCCGGUUCCAGCAGACGAAUGAUGUCCUCCAGGGGUGCUAGCUCAUUUGGGGGCCAGCCCGGAGCACAUGGGAGCCUUCCCUA
RNAcentral lists this long non-coding RNA (344 nucleotides) under Canis lupus dingo (dingo). RNAcentral describes it as "lncRNA (ENSCAFG00020022265.1)". The record is from RNAcentral. Lineage: Eukaryota; Metazoa; Chordata; Mammalia; Carnivora; Canidae.